CAGCAGCCGCGGGAAAACGGAGGGUGCAAGCGUUAAUCGGAAUUACUGGGCGUAAAGCGCACGCAGGCGGUCUGACAAGUCAGAUGUGAAAUCCCCGGGCUUAACCUGGGAACUGCAUUUGAAACUGUCAGGCUGGAGUCUUGUAGAGGGGGGUAGAAUUCCAGGUGUAGCGGUGAAAUGCGUAGAGAUCUGGAGGAAUACCGGUGGCGAAGGCGGCCCCCUGGACAAAGACUGACGCUCAGGUGCGAAAGCGUGGGGAGCAAACAGGAUUAGAUACCCCGGUAGUCCCUGUCUCAUACAC
Molecule: ribosomal RNA, 301 nt
Filed under: uncultured bacterium
Lineage: Bacteria
Description: partial 16S ribosomal RNA
Rfam family: Bacterial small subunit ribosomal RNA
Source: RNAcentral